This 253-nucleotide ribosomal RNA is filed under the name uncultured bacterium. RNAcentral's name for it is "partial 16S ribosomal RNA". It matches the Rfam family "Bacterial small subunit ribosomal RNA", at positions 524 to 776 of the family's 1533-position model. The record is from RNAcentral.
UACAGAGGGGGCUAGCGUUGUUCGGAAUUACUGGGCGUAAAGGGCGCGUAGGCGGCCCGUUAAGUCGAACGUGAAAGCCCCGGGCUCAACCUGGGAAUGGCGAUGGAUACUGGCUCGCUAGAGUGCGGUAGAGGAGAGUGGAAUUCCCGGUGUAGCAGUGAAAUGCGUAGAGAUCGGGAGGAACAUCAGUUGCGAAGGCGGCUCUCUGGACCAGCACUGACACUGAGGCACGAAAGCGUGGGGAGCAAACAGG